UCUGAUCUCAGAUCAAGCAAGAAGACCCGCCGAAUUUAAGCAUAUCAAUAAGC
This 53-nucleotide ribosomal RNA is filed under the name Sellaphora pupula. Its description in RNAcentral is "partial 26S ribosomal RNA". Lineage: Eukaryota; Bacillariophyta; Bacillariophyceae; Sellaphorales; Sellaphoraceae. The record is from RNAcentral.